UGGGAGAUAGAGGCUGCAGUGAGCUGAGA
Molecule: non-coding RNA, 29 nt
Filed under: Homo sapiens (human)
Lineage: Eukaryota; Metazoa; Chordata; Mammalia; Primates; Hominidae
Source: RNAcentral